RNAcentral lists this ribosomal RNA (253 nucleotides) under uncultured bacterium. RNAcentral describes it as "partial 16S ribosomal RNA". It matches the Rfam family "Bacterial small subunit ribosomal RNA", at positions 524 to 776 of the family's 1533-position model. The record is from RNAcentral.
UACGAAGGGUGCAAACGUUGCUCGGAAUUAUUGGGCGUAAAGCGCACGUAGGCGGCUUAGCAAGUCGGAAGUGAAAUCCCUCGGCUCAACCAAGGAAGUGCUUUCGAAACUGCUGAGCUUGAGUACUAAAGAGGAUCGCGGAAUUCCCGGUGUAGAGGUGAAAUUCGUAGAUAUCGGGAGGAACACCAGUGGCGAAGGCGGCUUACUGGUCCGGUUCUGACGCUGAGGCGCGAAAGCCAGGGGAGCAAACAGG